UACGGGGGGAGCAAGCGUUGUUCGGAUUUACUGGGCGUAAAGGGCGCGUAGGCGGUCAGCACAAGUCAGUUGUGAAAUCUCCGGGCUUAACUCGGAAAGGUCAACUGAUACUGUGCGACUAGAGUGCAGAAGGGGCAACUGGAAUUCUCGGUGUAGAGGUGAAAUGCAUUGAGAUCGGAAAGAACACCAACGGCGAAAGCACUCUGCUGGGCCGACACUGACACUGAGAGACGAAAGCUAGGGGAGCAAAUGGG
Molecule: ribosomal RNA, 254 nt
Filed under: uncultured bacterium
Lineage: Bacteria
Description: partial 16S ribosomal RNA
Rfam family: Bacterial small subunit ribosomal RNA
Source: RNAcentral